UUUCUGUUAAGGGAAUGAGGAGGAAGACGCAGUGAACUGAAACAUCUAAGUAGCUGCAGGAAGAGAAAGCAAAAGCGAUUGCCUUAGUAGCGGCGAGCGAAGAGGCAGGAGGGCAAACCGAAGAGUUUACUCUUCGGGGUUGUAGGACUGCGCUGUGGACUCAGAAUUUAUAGAAGAAUGACUUGGGAAAGUCAGCCAAAGAGAGUAAGAGCCUCGUAUUUUAAAUAGAUUCUGUACCUAGCAGUAUCCUGAGUACGGCGGGACACGUGAAAUCCCGUCGGAAUCUGGGAGGACCAUCUCCCAACCCUAAAUACUCCCUAGUGACCGAUAGUGAACCAGUACCGUGAGGGAAAGGUGAAAAGCACCCCGGGAGGGGAGUGAAAUAGAACCUGAAACCGUGUGCCUACAACAAGUUCGAGCCCGUUCAUGGGUGAGAGCGUGCCUUUUGUAGAAUGAACCGGCGAGUUACGUUAUGAUGCGAGGUUAAGUUGAAGAGACGGAGCCGUAGGGAAACCGAGUCUGAAUAGGGCGCUUUAGUAUCAUGAUGUAGACCCGAAACCAUGUGACCUACCCAUGAGCAGGUUGAAGGUGCGGUAAAACGCACUGGAGGACCGAACCAGGGCACGUUGAAAAGUGCUUGGAUGACUUGUGGGUAGCGGAGAAAUUCCAAACGAACUUGGAGAUAGCUGGUUCUCUCCGAAAUAGCUUUAGGGCU
This 715-nucleotide ribosomal RNA is filed under the name Shigella flexneri. RNAcentral describes it as "partial 23S ribosomal RNA". It matches the Rfam family "Bacterial large subunit ribosomal RNA", at positions 157 to 877 of the family's 2925-position model. Lineage: Bacteria; Pseudomonadati; Pseudomonadota; Gammaproteobacteria; Enterobacterales; Enterobacteriaceae. The record is from RNAcentral.